RNAcentral lists this ribosomal RNA (253 nucleotides) under uncultured bacterium. RNAcentral's name for it is "partial 16S ribosomal RNA". It matches the Rfam family "Bacterial small subunit ribosomal RNA", at positions 524 to 777 of the family's 1533-position model. The record is from RNAcentral.
UACGGAGGAUGCGAGCGUUAUCCGGAUUUAUUGGGUUUAAAGGGUGCGUAGGCGGAGUGUCAAGUCAGCGGUAAAAUUUCGGGGCUCAACCCCGUCGUGCCGUUGAAACUGACGCCCUUGAGUGAGUGAGAAGUAAGCGGAAUGCGUGGUGUAGCGGUGAAAUGCAUAGAUAUCACGCAGAACUCCGAUUGCGAAGGCAGCAUACCGGCGCUCAACUGACGCUCAUGCACGAAAGUGUGGGUAUCGAACAGGG